GUACCUGUGAAAGGAAGAGGAGAAGCAGGAUUGGACAGAGGAAGAAGUCCAACUGUGAAUCAGACCUGAAGAAGCCUCAGCCAGCCCUGUGGAGAGCUCUGGAGCUAUCCCAGGAAGGACAUGACCUCCGGUGAAGUGACUCCAUUGCUGUAACACACCCUGAAGAAGCUGAUGGAGGCCAUUGACUGCAGGCUCUGCCACUGGGCAGCAGGCCCUUCCUUGAAGGGAGAUCUAGGCGGCACAUUUCCAUGUUUACCACAGGAGAUAAGAGGCAACAGAAUCUAGUGUGCAAGUGGAGGAAUUGUCCUUGGAUGAAACAGUGGACAGUUUCUACAGGGUAACAAGAGGAAACAUGGAGGAUACAGCUGCAGGGACUGUCUUAUUCAUCAUGGUAUUCUCAACACCUGAAGUGGGGGCCACACACAUAGCUCCUUUGAUCUUAUAGAUCCACUAUCUCAACACAGGCCCUUGGUGUUCAUGGUGGUAGGGGAAAACAACAGGAGGAGAACUCAUUCCUGCUCUUCUAUGAUUCUGCUCAUUGGUCAUGGCCAAAUCAGUCAUAUGACCCCACCUAACUGCAAAGAAUCUAGGCAAUAUGGGGCACACAUGGAAUAGCUGGUGAGCUUUGCUGUCUCUGCACAGAAGGGGAUAAUAACUGCAAUCAGAUAAGGGAAUCAAACCUGGAUUUCUCAGUCCAUGAGGCGACACUCAGUCCACUGAACCACCCAGGCCAGGCACCAUCCCCUUCUUUCAAAAAUGUUUUCUCUUCACCUGCAUGACAUUAAACUUCCUACUCUUCUGCUGGCUGUCCUGUGCCUGUUGGCCUAAAAAAUGUUGGUGUUCUUCAGGGAUCUAUUUAUGCCCUUGGUUUUUUCCUUAUGCACGAUUUCCCUGGGUGUUCUCAUCCACACCCAUGGUAUC
Molecule: long non-coding RNA, 921 nt
Organism: Molossus molossus (Pallas's mastiff bat)
Lineage: Eukaryota; Metazoa; Chordata; Mammalia; Chiroptera; Molossidae
Exons: 5
Source: RefSeq, a predicted model, not a curated record